GAAAGUAAGCAAGGGCAGACGGUGGAUGCCUUGGCUCUCGGAGGCGACGAAGGACGUGAUAAGCUGCGAAAAGCCCGGGGGAGGCGCAAAUAGCCCUUGAUCCCGGGAUAUCCGAAUGGGGCAACCCGGCAGGCUGAAGGCCUGCCAUCCCGUAAGGGAGGCGAACGUGGGGAACUGAAACAUCUAAGUACCCAUAGGAGGAGAAAAUAAACAAUGAUUCCGUAAGUAGUGGCGAGCGAACACGGAAGAGCCCAAACCCAUGUCGUCUAGGCGACACGGGGGUUGUAGGACCACGACGUGGCAAGAAGGAAGGGAAAUGGAACGACUUGGAAAAGUCGGCCAUAGACGGUGAAAGCCCGGUACAUGACUCCCUUACGAAGCCUAGUGGUAUCCUGAGUAGCGCGGGGCACGAGAAAUCUUGCGUGAAUUAGCGGGGCCCAUCCCGUAAGGCUAAAUACUCCCGAGAGACCGAUAGCGAACCAGUACCGUGAGGGAAAGGUGAAAAGAACCCCGAGCAGGGGAGUGAAAUAGACCCUGAACCCGUCUGCCUACAAGCGGUCGGAGCGUCGUAAUGACGUGACGGCGUGCCUUUUGCAUAAUGAACCUACGAGUUACCUUCCCCGGCAAGGUUAAGUACCUAAGGUACGGAGCCGAAGCGAAAGCGAGUCUGAACAGGGCGCCAAGUCGGGGGGGGUAGACGCGAAACCGAGUGAUCUACCCUUGGCCAGGUUGAAGGUUGGGUAACACCAACUGGAGGACCGGAUGGGUAAGCGUUGAAAAGCUUUCCAAUGAGCUGAGGGUAGGGGUGAAAGGCUAAUCAAACUCGGAGAUAGCUCGUACUCCCCGAAAUGCAUUUAGGUGCAGCCUCUUUAUAGUAUAUCGUGAGGUAGAGCGACUGAUUGGAUGCGAGGGCUUCACCGCCUAUCAAGUCCAGAUAAACUCCGAAUGCGCGAUAUAUAUUUACAGGGAGUGAGGGCGCGGGUGCUAAGGUCCGUGUCCGAGAGGAGAAGAAUCCAGACCACCGGCUAAGGCCCCCAAAUGAUCGUUAAGUUGAACUAACGAGGUCGGAUCGCAGAGACAGCUAGGAUGUUGGCUUGGAAGCAGCCAUUCAUUUAAAGAGUGCGUAACAGCUCACUAGUCGAGCGAUCUGGCGUGGAUAAUAAUCGGGCAUAAACGAUCUGCCGAAGCCGUGGAUGUCGCAAGACAUGGUAGGGGAGCAUUCCAUGCGGCGUCGAAGAUGAGGGAUGACCCUUGUUGGAGCGCAUGGAAAAGCAAAUGUAGGUAUGAGUAACGAUAAGGGGGGCGAGAAACCCCCCCGCCGAAAGACCAAGGUUUCCUGAUCAACGCUAAUCGGAUCAGGGUGAGUCGGGACCUAAGGCAAAGCCGAACGGCGCCGCCGAUGGAAGAAUGGGUUAAUAUUCCCAUACUGCCUCAUGGAGUGACGUGGAGACGGAGAAGUGACAGUCCUGCCGGCUGACGGAAUAGCCGGUUGAAGGGUGUAGAUAUUGAUUCCCGUAGGCAAAUCCGCGGGGAGAGUCGAACCUGAGAGUAUACGGAGCGCUUGCGCAACGUAAUAUGGACGUAACCAUGCUCCCGAGAAAAUCCGCUAAACUUAUCCAUGCGGCACCCGUACCGUAAACGGACACACGUGGUCGGGUUGAGAAUACUGAGGCGCUCGAGUGAUUCACGGUUAAGGAACUAGGCAAAUUGACCCUGUAACUUCGGGAUAAAGGGUCCUCGUCGUAAGGCGAGGCGCAGAGAAUAGGUCCAGGCAACUGUUUAACAAAAACACAUGGCUGUGCUAAAUGGAAACAUGAUGUAUACAGCCUGACACCUGCCCGGUGCCGGAAGGUUAAGAGGAGAUGUCAUCCGCGAGGAGAAGCGUUGAAUUGAAGCCCCGGUAAACGGCGGCCGUAACUAUAACGGUCCUAAGGUAGCGAAAUUCCUUGUCGGGUAAGUUCCGACCUGCACGAAUGGUGUAAUGAUCUGGACACUGUCUCAACCGUGAGCUCGGUGAAAUUGUAGUAUCGGUGAAGAUGCCGAUUACCCGCGAUGGGACGAAAAGACCCCGUGAACCUUUACUAUAGCUUUACAUUGAGUUUGGGCAGACGAUGUGUAGGAUAGGCCGGAGGCAUUGAAGCAGGUACGCCAGUAUUUGUGGAGCCGACGUUGAAAUACGGCCCUUCGGUUGUUUGAGUUCUAACUCCUAGUUAGGAGGACACUGUAUGGUGGGUAGUUUGACUGGGGUGGUCGCCUCCAAAAGCGUAACGGAGGCUUCUAAAGGUGCCCUCAGACCGAUUGGUAACCGGUCGCAGAGUGUAAUGGCAUAAGGGCGCUUGACUGGGAGACAUACAAGUCGAUCAGGUAGGAAACUAGAGCAUAGUGAUCCGGUGGUUCCGCAUGGAAGGGCCAUCGCUCAAAGGAUAAAAGGUACUCCGGGGAUAACAGGCUGAUCAUUCCCAAGAGCUCAUAUCGACGGAAUGGUUUGGCACCUCGAUGUCGGCUCGUCACAUCCUGGGGCUGGAGAAGGUCCCAAGGGUUGGGCUGUUCGCCCAUUAA
RNAcentral lists this ribosomal RNA (2559 nucleotides) under human gut metagenome. Its description in RNAcentral is "bacterial LSU rRNA". It matches the Rfam family "Bacterial large subunit ribosomal RNA", at positions 1 to 2591 of the family's 2925-position model. The record is from RNAcentral.